Molecule: non-coding RNA, 279 nt
Organism: Vicia faba (fava bean)
Lineage: Eukaryota; Viridiplantae; Streptophyta; Magnoliopsida; Fabales; Fabaceae
Source: the annotation of a GenBank genome assembly
AUGCAUAAUCUUCAUUCAUCAUACAAAACCUUCAAUCCUCAUUUUUCAUCUUCAACCUUUCAACCUCUCUCUUUGAACCGCAUCAAGAUCUCUAUCAUCUUUCUAUGCAACAUAAAAAAACGCCUACUCUUCAUCCCUCCAACCUUUCAUUCUCUUCAUCACUAUAACAUACUUCAACUUCACUACUUCGGAUAUCUUCAUCUUCAACCUCACUUAAUCAUCCCCAUAAUCAUCAUCGUCCUCUAUCUGGUUUUCUCUGCACUCUCCACCAAACGUUAA